UGCGCAAGGCGUGCCCGAUCACGAUAUUGUGGAAUGCGACCCCUUUGAGGCGCGCGGUGCGGAUGUACUGGGUGGUCAUGACCUCGGCCAUCGAAGCCCGGGUCAUGCGCGCGAUAUAGCCGGUGCCGUAAAGGGCGAUGGUGAAUACCGGCAGGAAGAAGUUCUCGAGAGUCGGGUUU
RNAcentral lists this non-coding RNA (179 nucleotides) under Ectothiorhodospiraceae bacterium AqS1. RNAcentral describes it as "Ruegeria cis52 sRNA". It matches the Rfam family "Ruegeria cis52 sRNA". From Rfam's summary of the family: Cis-encoded. Targets oligo/dipeptide ABC transporter. The record is from Rfam by way of RNAcentral. Lineage: Bacteria; Pseudomonadati; Pseudomonadota; Gammaproteobacteria; Chromatiales; Ectothiorhodospiraceae.